UACGUAGGGUGCGAGCGUUGUCCGGAAUUAUUGGGCGUAAAGGGCUCGUAGACGGUUUGUCGCGUCGGGAGUGAAAACCAGGUGCUUAACACCUGGCUUGCUUUCGAUACGGGCAGACUAGAGGUAUGCAGGGGAGAACGGAAUUCCUGGUGUAGCGGUGAAAUGCGCAGAUAUCAGGAGGAACACCGGUGGCGAAGGCGGUUCUCUGGGCAUGACCUGACGCUGAGGAGCGAAAGUGUGGGGAGCGAACAGG
Molecule: ribosomal RNA, 253 nt
Filed under: uncultured bacterium
Lineage: Bacteria
Description: partial 16S ribosomal RNA
Rfam family: Bacterial small subunit ribosomal RNA
Source: RNAcentral